This 613-nucleotide long non-coding RNA is filed under the name Salvia miltiorrhiza (redroot sage). RNAcentral describes it as "long non-coding RNA (SMIL_LNC006328)". The record is from RNAcentral. Lineage: Eukaryota; Viridiplantae; Streptophyta; Magnoliopsida; Lamiales; Lamiaceae.
UCCCCAAAUUAUUAUAAAGAAUUUUAACUUAGUUUGAAAGUUUGUCUUCCACAGAGUAGCGAUAUUUCUUCCAUGGCCAAGCCCCAUUGUUUGAAACUCUAAUCUCAUGCAUUAAUAUACAAUAAUCAUUUUUCUUCCCUAUCUUAUAAUCAUAGACAACAUCCCAAAGUGAGUAACUCAACUCACGACACAUGAUGGUGAGAUAUAAAUAUAUUUUACAAAACUUUUGUCUGUAUCCAUCGAAUGAAUAUAUCAUGACAUUUAUUUGAAAUUUAUCAUGUCAUUUUAAAAUUAGACUUCUCCUUCUCAUUCGAUCUCAUACAAGAUUUAUUCUAUUUGAAACAGAUACAAGUCGGAAAGGACGAGGACAGGGAAUAACUUAGAAAAAAUAGUUUCUUAUGCGCACACCACCUGUUCGAUAGAAAUCCCAAGUGAAGAAAACCAGCAAAAUGAAGAAUAGGCGAAAUAUUUCCUUUAGCAAGUAGUGUUCUUUUUUCCUUGUAUUGUUCAUGCUAUUUGCAGCUUGUUGUAAUGAAGAUUUGCAAUUCAGUUUAUUUGGAGAGAAUAUCAAAUAUUUAGCAACUAAAUUUUCUGUUGUAAAUGCCAUUUCUUG